UUUAUUGUGCCGAUUGAAUAU
Molecule: non-coding RNA, 21 nt
Filed under: Caenorhabditis elegans
Lineage: Eukaryota; Metazoa; Nematoda; Chromadorea; Rhabditida; Rhabditidae
Source: RNAcentral